This 276-nucleotide unclassified non-coding RNA is filed under the name plant metagenome. RNAcentral describes it as "partial contains small subunit ribosomal RNA, internal transcribed spacer 1, and 5.8S ribosomal RNA". The stretch from base 228 to 276 matches the Rfam family "5.8S ribosomal RNA", at positions 1 to 49 of the family's 154-position model. The record is from RNAcentral.
UUUCCGUAGGUGAACCUGCGGAAGGAUCGUUAUCGAAAUACUUAUUUAGCGUUCCGUGCUAUCCCAUUGUUUUAUUUACCCUGUUGCUUCCACUGGAUGAGUUUCCAUACCUUGUGUUUGAGAAACUUUGGCUUGUGUAAGAUUCAUUCACGGCCAGCCAGUGAGAAGACCAUUUACAAAACCCUGUUAAGAACCAAUUGUCUGAAUAUUUUACUCCAAUGAAAUAAAACUUUCAACAACGGAUCUCUAGGCUCUUGGAUCGAUGAAGAACGCAGC